This 466-nucleotide ribosomal RNA is filed under the name Vreelandella stevensii. RNAcentral describes it as "partial 16S ribosomal RNA". It matches the Rfam family "Bacterial small subunit ribosomal RNA", at positions 338 to 795 of the family's 1533-position model. The record is from RNAcentral. Lineage: Bacteria; Pseudomonadati; Pseudomonadota; Gammaproteobacteria; Oceanospirillales; Halomonadaceae.
CCUACGGGCGGCAGCAGUGGGGAAUAUUGGACAAUGGGCGAAAGCCUGAUCCAGCCAUGCCGCGUGUGUGAAGAAGGCCUUCGGGUUGUAAAGCACUUUCAGUGGGGAAGAAAGCCUUGGGGCUAAUACCCUCGAGGAAGGACAUCACCCACAGAAGAAGCACCGGCUAACUCCGUGCCAGCAGCCGCGGUAAUACGGAGGGUGCGAGCGUUAAUCGGAAUUACUGGGCGUAAAGCGCGCGUAGGCGGUCUGAUAAGCCGGUUGUGAAAGCCCCGGGCUCAACCUGGGAACGGCAUCCGGAACUGUCAGGCUAGAGUGCAGGAGAGGAAGGUAGAAUUCCCGGUGUAGCGGUGAAAUGCGUAGAGAUCGGGAGGAAUACCAGUGGCGAAGGCGGCCUUCUGGACUGACACUGACGCUGAGGUGCGAAAGCGUGGGUAGCAAACAGGAUUAGAUACCCCGGGUAGUC